UGAAAUACGUAACAGUGAAAGUUGGAGAAUCUUUUACUCUAGACACUGGUCUCACUGAUAUAAAGAAGUAUGGUCAACUGCUGUGGAGGUUUGGAGAGAAUGACACUCUUGUAUCUAAAACCAAUGGAACAGAUCCGCUCUUUUCUAUACCUGAGAGAUUCAAAGACAGAAUCCUUUAUCAUGAAAAUGGAUCUCUCACCAUCAAAAAUACUAGAAUUGAACACACUGGGUCUUAUCGCAUAGAAAUCAGCAGCAGCAGAAAAACCUUACUCAAGAGAUUCAGUGUUCUUGUCACUGCUUCUACAGUAGCAGACCUUGAACACCCAGGCUCUAUAGCAGCAAUGGUUUUUGGUAUUGUUCUGGUUAUAACUUUGGGUUGCAUCAUCUUUUGCAAAAUAUCUAAAAAGGGCAAGUAUCAUCUACAGAUAGUAUAGCAAAAGGAAAACACCGUUAUUUUACAACUGUGUCUGAUUAUUUUGUAAUUGCAGAAUGGAAUAGAAUCCCAAAAAGGGCUGUCCAACAAUGAGGAAAAAUACAGAAGACACUUGAUCUGAGAGGAUCCCAUCAAGAUCACUUUGCAGCUAUUAUAACAUAAUUUAUAUGUUCUAAUAAUCUUGCUCUUUCCAUAUACCUCAGAACAAAACAUUUGUUUGUCAGUUGUCCAAACUUUAAGUUUUAACUCAGGGGGUAUUCCAGAAAGGAAGUUAUGUGACAUACCUCAGAAAAGCUUCCUCAGAGUAAACAGAUAACCUCAACUUUCAGUUCCUUUUUAUUAUUAUUAUUAUUUUUUAUUUUUUUGGAACAUUACAUACUCUAAGUAGCCAUAAAAACUUAAACAUUCUCUAUUUUAAAAAAAACAAACAAACAAAAAAAAACCUUUUAAUCUUGUGCCAAGUUUGAUUCUCUGAAGCAUUUUGUUCCACUAAAAGGAGUUCCCUAAAAUCAUUCUCUGUUCUCAAAUGUGGGUACUUCUGCCGGCAUUUAUAGGAACUAUGAAAAUACUUCUCCAGUGUGAAAGCCUCUAUUACAUGCAAGUUUUUUCCUCAUUCCUCAUUUAUGCUUCAAUUCAUAGUUUUUAUUACUGUAGUUGAGCUUGGAAUUCAGAGUUUAAAAACAAAUAUGUAUAAGAAGAAUAGGAAAAUACCAGAACCAAAAACUGUUAAAGGAGUCAUCGGAUGCCACAUGCACUUUUACAAGAUGUUUGAACUGAAAUGUGUGUUUUAUUUUAUUUUUUAUUUUUUUAGAAAGUUGUACACUCUACAUACUGUGAACAUUA
Molecule: long non-coding RNA, 1276 nt
Organism: Carassius gibelio (silver crucian carp)
Lineage: Eukaryota; Metazoa; Chordata; Actinopteri; Cypriniformes; Cyprinidae
Exons: 3
Source: RefSeq, a predicted model, not a curated record